RNAcentral lists this ribosomal RNA (478 nucleotides) under uncultured bacterium. RNAcentral describes it as "partial 16S ribosomal RNA". It matches the Rfam family "Bacterial small subunit ribosomal RNA", at positions 28 to 523 of the family's 1533-position model. The record is from RNAcentral.
GACGAACGCUGGCGGCGUGCUUAACACAUGCAAGUCGAACGGUAAGGCCCUUCGGGGUACACGAGUGGCGAACGGGUGAGUAACACGUGGGUGAUCUGCCCUGCACCUCGGGAUAAACCUGGGAAACUGGGUCUAAUACCGGAUAGGACCACUGCCUGCAUGGGUGGUGGUGGAAAGCUUUUGCGGUGUGGGAUGGGCCCGCGGCCUAUCAGCUUGUUGGUGGGGUGAUGGCCUACCAAGGCGACGACGGGUAGCCGGCCUGAGAGGGUGACCGGCCACACUGGGACUGGGAUACGGCCCAGACUCCUACGGGAGGCAGCAGUGGGGAAUAUUGCACAAUGGGCGCAAGCCUGAUGCAGCGACGCCGCGUGAGGGAUGACGGCCUUCGGGUUGUAAACCUCUUUCAGCACCGACGAAGCGCAAGUGACGGUAGGUGCAGAAGAAGGACCGGCCAACUACGUGCCAGCAGCCGCAGUAA